This 233-nucleotide ribosomal RNA is filed under the name uncultured bacterium. RNAcentral describes it as "partial 16S ribosomal RNA". It matches the Rfam family "Bacterial small subunit ribosomal RNA", at positions 118 to 346 of the family's 1533-position model. The record is from RNAcentral.
UGAGGAACAUGACCUUCGGCGGGGGAUAGCCGGCCCAACGGCCGGGUAAUACCGCGUACGACCACAUGGGGACAUCCCUGAGUGGUGAAAGCAGCAAUGCGCCGAUGGAGUGCCUCGCGGCCUAUCAGCUAGUUGGUGAGGUCAUGGCUCACCAAGGCGACGACGGGUAGCUGGGUCCGAGAGGAUGACCAGCCACAUUGGGACUGAGACACGGCCCAGAUCCCGUAACGGGG